GUUGUCGUCAGCUCGUGUCGUGAGAUGUUGGGUUAAGUCCCGCAACGAGCGCAACCCUUAUGACUAGUUGCCAGCAUUUAGUUGGGCACUCUAGUAAGACUGCCGGUGACAAACCGGAGGAAGGUGGGGAUGACGUCAAAUCAUCAUGCCCCUUAUGACCUGGGCUACACACGUGCUACAAUGGAUGGUACAACGAGUUGCGAGACCGCGAGGUCAAGCUAAUCUCUUAAAGCCAUUCUCAGUUCGGACUGUAGGCUGCAACUCGCCUACAUGAAGUCGGAAUCGCUAGUAAUCG
Molecule: ribosomal RNA, 295 nt
Filed under: Lacticaseibacillus paracasei
Lineage: Bacteria; Bacillati; Bacillota; Bacilli; Lactobacillales; Lactobacillaceae
Description: partial 16S ribosomal RNA
Rfam family: Bacterial small subunit ribosomal RNA
Source: RNAcentral